Molecule: ribosomal RNA, 232 nt
Filed under: uncultured bacterium
Lineage: Bacteria
Description: partial 16S ribosomal RNA
Rfam family: Bacterial small subunit ribosomal RNA
Source: RNAcentral
CGGACGGGUGAGUAAUGUCUGGGAAACUGCCCGAUGGAGGGGGAUAACUACUGGAAACGGUAGCUAAUACCGCAUAACGUCGCAAGACCAAAGAGGGGGACCUUCGGGCCUCUUGCCAUCAGAUGAACCCAUAUGGGAUUAGCUAGUAGGUGAGGUAACGGCUUACCUAGGCGACGAUCCCUAGCUGGUCUGAGAGGAUGACCAGCCACACUGGAACUGAGACACGGUCCAG